Molecule: long non-coding RNA, 792 nt
Filed under: Phoenix dactylifera (date palm)
Lineage: Eukaryota; Viridiplantae; Streptophyta; Magnoliopsida; Arecales; Arecaceae
Description: long non-coding RNA (PDAC_LNC010586)
Source: RNAcentral
GAAGGCAUAGAACUCCCGAACUAGUCCGGGGUAGAUCACCACAUCUAGGGAGCAAAGAUACUCCCAACCUUGCCUUCGGAUCCAUUCCCCCAAACGGAACCCUUCUUGAUCAAAGAACUCGGAAUGGAUCCUUCUCCCCGUUGUAACCGGUCUCCCCGCAAACUUUGCAAGUUGUACUGAGGGGGAGGGAGGAGGAGGUGGCUCUGCACGUGCCUCACGUUGUGGAGACACUGUAGAUAGCUCCGUAGCUUCUCUUUCCUCACGUUGGAUCCGUGAGACUCUUCCGGAUCUCUUGGCUACGGCUCUUUUGGGUCACAUUUCUCCAAGAUCUUGAAGUAAUCUAGCAUUUGGAGUUGAUUGGAGGAGUUUGGAGAGUGGAGAAUAGAGUUUUCAGAAGAGGACAAGGGCAAACAGUGCCCUAAAAAAGCUCACGGGUCUUCCUUUUAACAGUGGGGUCCCGACGUUGGGUCGACUCAACGUUGGGUCGACCUUAUUCUGGGUUGGGUCGACCCAAGUUCAGAAUUUUUUUCUUUCUCUUCCUUUUUGCUUCUAAAAAUUUUUCUUGCUUCCAAUCCUUACAAAUUCUUUCUAGGACAAUGAUACAUGAGUAAGGAAUCUAUAUAUGACAAUUUUGACUCAUGUUUCAUGAGUUUUUAGAAAUGGGAGGAAUGUAUCAUGAGACUGCUUGCUCCCUUUUAUAUCUCUUCAAUAGAAAGGAUCAUAUAUGCCUAAUUCCCUCCUUAGCGUGCAGAAUCUAUCUUCACUUAAGGGUUUUGUGAAUUUGUCGGCUAA